CGCACAUUGCGCCUUUUGGUAUUCCGAAAGGCAUGCCUGUUUGAGUGUCAUAAGACCUCUCAUACCUAGUUUUCUAUGUAUGAGCUUUGGACGCUGCCAUCCGUGGCUCGUCUUAAAUGUCUAAGUGGAAUGCGUAAUAAGUUUUCGCUCCCUCCACUCUAAUAACUUUUAUGUUAGACCUCAAAUCAGGUAGGACUACCCGCUGAACUUAA
RNAcentral lists this unclassified non-coding RNA (212 nucleotides) under Hannaella phetchabunensis. Its description in RNAcentral is "partial contains 5.8S ribosomal RNA, internal transcribed spacer 2, and large subunit ribosomal RNA". The record is from RNAcentral. Lineage: Eukaryota; Fungi; Basidiomycota; Tremellomycetes; Tremellales; Bulleribasidiaceae.